This is a long non-coding RNA of Sander lucioperca (pikeperch), 918 nucleotides long. RefSeq lists it as uncharacterized. The record is from RefSeq and is a predicted model, not a curated record. The transcript has 3 exons. Lineage: Eukaryota; Metazoa; Chordata; Actinopteri; Perciformes; Percidae.
AAAGCAAAUGAAAGGAAAUGAUUUCCAACAUUCUUUUAUUGAACAAAUUGAACAUUGAAUUGAAUAUAACCGGCCCCACUAAAAACAGAACGACAAUUGAUAUUUUCUGCUGACAUUUUCUUUCAACUAACACAAAAAACCUCUGAGUGUCUUUUGUGAUAUGAUGCAACCUUUCGCGAUAUGGUUAUUGCGCCAGAUGAUAUAUAAAAAAACGAUAUAUAGUGCAGCCCUAAUAGCACUGUCAUGUGUCCCCUUGUGAUCUCAAGAUAAAAUAGAGCUGCAUGAAGUGGGUCUUGUUUGUUUUGGACUUCCUUUGAGGCACACUGACACCUUUAAUAUACAAGACAAAUAAUGAUACAUUAUAUAAAAGGUUUUAUGCUCUUUCAGCUCUAAAACUGGACGCACAUACUUGUCUUUUCUUGUUAUUCAGGAGAGUUCUGUGCUUUUUCCAGGCAGCAUGGUUUAGUCCCAGGAGGUGGAAAGUGAAUCUUUGGAGGCUUUUAAGAAGUGCACGACCUCCUAUGGUAGAUUUUUAUUUUUCCAAGCUUCGCUGUGUUUUGUUGCCUUGUUAAUCGUGAGGGCCAACGGGGGCCAAGGUACUGCGGGUGAAUCUGGAAUGAGUCCGGCCAUUUCAUUGCAUUCAGCUGAGAAAAGCUGUGGGAUUUAGUGCUCCUCGAGAAAAAUAGCAAACUCUCCAGAGAGCUGGACCUGGAUGCUCGAAACCUUUGGCUGUGAGCAGCAUUUUGAUUUGGGGGGGAAAAGCUUUAGCCCCCGGUUGUGUUUUGUUAUCUAGUGCUGUGUUGUGUUGGGGCUGUUUACUAUGCAGCAUGUGCUCUGUGUGGACACCAGAAUCAAGGUGGUCUGUUGUGAAAAGCACAAGGCUCAAUACAGUAUCUGUCUGAGUGUUGGAGUGGAUCC